CUUGGGGGCCGGAAAGGGUCUCAGAGGAAGCCAGAACUACCCUGUGCCUCUUGGCCCGGGCCAGGCAGUGCUGUGGGGCAGCAGGGGGUGCUGGAUGAGGUCUUGGGGGGGGGGCACCGGGCGACCGGCCCGGCCGCCGAGGAGUGGCCUGAGGGGGCGCAGCGGGGGGCUCUACGGGGACUCACGGGGGCUCGGGUCUCCCAGGUCCUGUACAAGGUGGCCUGGAGCGAGAGCGUCGAGAGAGACUGCGCCACCUUCUGCGCCAAGAAGUUCGCCGAUCACCUGCACAAGUUCCACGAGAACGGGGACGGCGGUGACAUGUGGCAGUGAAGGAAGGACCCCCACGCCCCCCCCCCGGCGCCCCCAACCCCUUCUCCCCCUACCUGUCCAACCCCCACUUUGGGGCACACCAGUACCCAUCAGUACCCCAGCAGCCUCUGAGAAUCUCAGGUUCCACCCCUCAACCCCCCAGGGUUGGCCCGAGGUGAUCUGGGUGGGCGGAGGCAAGUGGAGGGUCCCCUCUGUCCUUUCCCCCCCCCCCCCCGGCGCUAUGCUGGGAACCUUCCGGCGAGCAGAGCCGGCCCCGCUCCCAACCCUCCGAAAUCAGAAAUCAGAUAUCAGCUCUCCCGGUUUCUAAAAGAUUAAACGGUUCCCCCGCCGUCCCCCACCUUCCCCACCGUCUGUCCCUUGUCACCCCUGCCGGGGAACUUCGCUCUGCCGCCGGCUUUGCCCCCUGCUCUGCCCGCUGCUCGGCCAGGCCCCGUGAUGAGCUGGCACUGGGCUGGUCUGUACCCAAUCUGCAUGCGCCCUGCCCCUUCCUCCCUAAGACCCAGGGAGGGAUGCUCCCCUCCCCGUAGCUCCCAGCUGGUCGAGUGGAGCGGGGGACCCGCCGUGGCGAGGGUCACUGAGUGGGAGGAGACACCCCGGUGGUCCGGCCUGCCCCCAAUCCUUGGGUGACGGUGUUUCCUGUCCUUGGCCAUUUCUGCACCGAGCUUACUUGGCAAAAUCCAAGAGGGGCCGGGAUUUGGGGGGGGGGUCUGGCACGGGGCCUAGCUGGGCUGUGUGGGUCCUCCUACCCCUUGUGCGCCCCCCACCCCAGGAAAUGGUGGACUUCUCUGCCAAUGCUUCUCAUCUCGGGCCCCUUUCCCACGCUCAGGCAAUACUGCCUUGCCAGGAAUUUAUGCAUUCUGCAAGACAGCCCUGGUCAUUCUGCUGUGCCCUCUGCCCACCUCCCCUGCCCGUCCUCCCCGUGCCCGCCAUCCCCUGCCCCCUGCCCGCCUCCCACAGACCCCGGCUGGGAUCUGUACCUGCCCCAGGGCCUCCCGUUCACCCGGAGUCCCAUCGACGCCGUCCCCGCUGGCCGAGCCCAGCCCUGCAUAGGUGGCAGGUGGUGGUGGUGGUGGUCCAGAAAUCGGGUCACUUGGAUCGGGGGAGGCAGAGUUUGGGGGGAGGCGUAGGGGCGACAUUCAGCCCCUGCGAUCUGGCUCCCCACCCCCAAGCAGAUUUAGCAUUGCGCUCGGCACGCUUUAGCCAGAAUAAACUCAGCCGUGCAUCAGCGGACGUGGUCCCGUCGUCUGUGACCCGGAGAGGGCGGCGGGGUGG
This 1602-nucleotide long non-coding RNA is filed under the name Ornithorhynchus anatinus (platypus). Its description in RNAcentral is "lncRNA (ENSOANG00000040387.1)". The record is from RNAcentral. Lineage: Eukaryota; Metazoa; Chordata; Mammalia; Monotremata; Ornithorhynchidae.